GCAGGAAUGAGAGUUAAUAUAAGAGGUUUAUUAACUUGCUUGACUAGGUCUUAUAAAGUUCUGGAUAAAGCUGAUAAUGACAACUUUAUAUCCAUAGGUCUCGACUAAAUCUUGUGCCAGCAGUCGCGGUAAGACAAGGGAGACGAGUGUUAUUCAUCUUAAACAGGUAUAUUGGGUACCUAGACUGUGUACAAAGGCUUUUAUAGUACCUGUUACACUAGAGUUUAAUAUGUGAGAGGAAGAUGUCAGAAUUAUUGGUGUAGGGAUGAAAUACUGUAAUACCAAUAGGACUGGUAAUGGCGAAGGCCAAACCUCUAUGUAUAUAUACUUUACUUUAUAGAUUUUAAAAAUAAUGAAUAUAUGUAAAGAACCGGAUAUAAAUGAAUUUAAACAACACAUAUCUUAUGUAUGUAAUAAAUCCGUAAAAUACUAUAACUAUCUUAAAAAAGGUGUGAUAAUAUAUAAAAAAAAUUAUCAUGUAAAGUAUUAUAACUGACGUUGAGGGACGAAGGCUCAGAGAGUGAAGAGGAUUAGAUACCCCCGUAGCCUGGGCAGACAAUGAUGAGUGCCAUAGGUUGGCUUUAAGUUGAACUAUAAAUGAAAGUGGAAGCACUCCACCUCAAGAGUAAUGUGGCAACGCAGGAACUGAAAUCAUUAGACCGUUUCUGAAACCAGUAGUGAAGUAUGUUAUUUAAUUCGAUGAUCCACGAAUAACCUUACCACAAUUUGAAUGAUCUAAAUGGAUAAACUUUCUAUUUAGACCACAUGCGUUGCAUGGCUGUCUUCAGUUAAUGUCGUGAGAUUUGGUUAGGUCCAUUAAAUUAACGUAAACCCUUGUUUUAUUUUAUGUUAUAAGGCAGCUCUCCGCUUACAAUUGGAUUGAUAAAAGGGACUAAGACAAGUCAUCAUGGCCUUAAUAUUGUGGGCUAUAGACGUGCCACAUAUGCCUUUACAAAGGGAUGCAAGAAUGNAAUNGAG
This 978-nucleotide ribosomal RNA is filed under the name Leptosphaeria heterospora. RNAcentral describes it as "SSU rRNA". It matches the Rfam family "Bacterial small subunit ribosomal RNA", at positions 1 to 1267 of the family's 1533-position model. The record is from RNAcentral. Lineage: Eukaryota; Fungi; Ascomycota; Dothideomycetes; Pleosporales; Leptosphaeriaceae.